CACACACACACACACACACACACACACACACCAUUCAUAAGUAGUAACACAACAUACAGGCAAAUUAUUUAUAUACAAUCUUGUACACGUCAAAACAACAACAACACCAACAACAACAAUAAUAACGAUAAUAAUAAUAAUUAUAAUAAUUAUAAUAAUUAUAAUAAUAAUCAUAAUAGUAAUAAUUAGUCAAUAUUUUCCUUAUAUUUUCCUUUAUUCAAACUAUUUAACACACAAAAAGGUGCAAUAUGAUACAAGACAGAGAGAGAGAGAGAGAGAGAGAGAGAGAGAGAGAGAGAGAGAGAGAGAGAGAGAGAGAGGGAGAGAGAGAGAGAGAGAGAGUAAAUAGUGCUAGUUGGAAAGAGUUAUGGAAGUACUUACGGUAAAAAAAAGUUGGAAAUAUGGUGUUUUGAUGGUGUUUUAAAGAGAGUUUUGGCCUUAUAAGAUACCUAGAGCUGUGUAAGAGGUAGGGAGAGCGAGUGAGAGUAUGUGAGAGCGCCAAAUACGAGUCUGAAUGCGUUUUUAAAGGAGAAACUUAAAGAGAGCUGAAGAAAAUUGAGAAUGUUUGAGAAGAUCGUGUUUUUUUUGGUAUUUUAAAGAGAAACUCGGCCGUAAAACUUUCUUAGAACUGUGUGGAAGGACCGGGAGAGUGUGUGAGUGUGAGGGAGAGCGUGUGAGAGCAAUGGAGAGUGAGAUAAUACAGUUUGUAAUGGUUUUCAGAGGGAAGACUUAAGAAAAACGAAGAAAAAGAGAGAAUUACUUAAAGAAAAUGUGAGUUUGGGCAAAUUUUGAAAGGGAAACUUCAGGAAACAAUUAAAUUUAUUCUUAUUUUUGUUUUUUUUAUGAUAAUUUAACCCGUGAGAGAGAGAGAGAGAGAGAGAGAGAGAGAGAGAGAGA
Long non-coding RNA from Portunus trituberculatus (swimming crab), 897 nucleotides. RefSeq lists it as uncharacterized. NCBI's taxonomy places the organism in Eukaryota, Metazoa, Arthropoda, Malacostraca, Decapoda, Portunidae. The record is from RefSeq and is a predicted model, not a curated record. The transcript has 2 exons.